GUCGCUCAGUGGUAGAGCACUUGCCUGGCAUGCAGGAGCCCCUGGGCUUGAUCCCCAGGACU
Molecule: transfer RNA, 62 nt
Filed under: Heterocephalus glaber (naked mole-rat)
Lineage: Eukaryota; Metazoa; Chordata; Mammalia; Rodentia; Bathyergidae
Rfam family: tRNA (bases 4-58)
About the family: Transfer RNA (tRNA) molecules are approximately 80 nucleotides in length. Their secondary structure includes four short double-helical elements and three loops (D, anti-codon, and T loops).
Source: Rfam by way of RNAcentral